This 200-nucleotide long non-coding RNA is filed under the name Elaeis guineensis (African oil palm). Its description in RNAcentral is "long non-coding RNA (EGUI_LNC067534)". Lineage: Eukaryota; Viridiplantae; Streptophyta; Magnoliopsida; Arecales; Arecaceae. The record is from RNAcentral.
GCAUCUCUAUAAUGAUGGAGGACCUCUGGACUUAAUAUUUAGUGAAAAAUUUAAGUUUAGGUCUCUUCUAAAUUAGCAGAUAUAACAUCCAACUGAUCAAAUUUAAGUUAGCACAUCCAUAUAUCUAACCAGCAUAGUUGGCAUAGGUGAACUCGAGUCAACAAGUUACCUAGCAUGAAAUUGAAUAUCCCAAGAUGGCC